This 741-nucleotide ribosomal RNA is filed under the name Streptomyces bungoensis. RNAcentral describes it as "bacterial SSU rRNA". It matches the Rfam family "Bacterial small subunit ribosomal RNA", at positions 97 to 850 of the family's 1533-position model. Lineage: Bacteria; Bacillati; Actinomycetota; Actinomycetes; Kitasatosporales; Streptomycetaceae. The record is from RNAcentral.
GGCGAACGGGUGAGUAACACGUGGGCAAUCUGCCCUUCACUCUGGGACAAGCCCUGGAAACGGGGUCUAAUACCGGAUAUCACUCCCGCAGGCAUCUGCGGGUGUCGAAAGCUCCGGCGGUGAAGGAUGAGCCCGCGGCCUAUCAGCUUGUUGGUGAGGUAAUGGCUCACCAAGGCGACGACGGGUAGCCGGCCUGAGAGGGCGACCGGCCACACUGGGACUGAGACACGGCCCAGACUCCUACGGGAGGCAGCAGUGGGGAAUAUUGCACAAUGGGCGAAAGCCUGAUGCAGCGACGCCGCGUGAGGGAUGACGGCCUUCGGGUUGUAAACCUCUUUCAGCAGGGAAGAAGCGAAAGUGACGGUACCUGCAGAAGAAGCGCCGGCUAACUACGUGCCAGCAGCCGCGGUAAUACGUAGGGCGCAAGCGUUGUCCGGAAUUAUUGGGCGUAAAGAGCUCGUAGGCGGCUUGUCACGUCGGGUGUGAAAGCCCGGGGCUUAACCCCGGGUCUGCAUUCGAUACGGGCUAGCUAGAGUGUGGUAGGGGAGAUCGGAAUUCCUGGUGUAGCGGUGAAAUGCGCAGAUAUCAGGAGGAACACCGGUGGCGAAGGCGGAUCUCUGGGCCAUUACUGACGCUGAGGAGCGAAAGCGUGGGGAGCGAACAGGAUUAGAUACCCUGGUAGUCCACGCCGUAAACGGUGGGAACUAGGUGUUGGCGACAUUCCACGUCGUCGGUGCCGCA